UUUCAGCUGACGAGUCCUAAAUAGGACGAAUAGCGCGUCCUGGAU
Non-coding RNA from Schistosoma margrebowiei, 45 nucleotides. Lineage: Eukaryota; Metazoa; Platyhelminthes; Trematoda; Strigeidida; Schistosomatidae. The record is from Rfam.